UCGAGAAUAAUUCGCAAUGGACGAAAGUCUGACGAUGCGACGCCGCGUGAACGAUGAAGGCCUUCGGGUUGUAACGUUCUGUUGCCUUGGAACAAGAGUUAUUGCUUAAUACGCAAUAACAAUGAGCGUACAAGGAGAGGAAGCACCAGCUAAUUCCGUGCCAGCAGCUGCGGUAAUACGGAAGGUGCAAGCGUUAGUCGGAAUUAUUGGGCGUAAAGGGUGCGUAGGCGGUUUUAUAAGUCGGUUGUGAAAUUCCGGGGCUUAACCUCGGAGCUGCAUUCGAUACUGUAAAACUAGAGGGAAGGCGGAGAAAAUGGAAUUCCAUAUGUAGCGGUGAAAUGCGUAGAUAUAUGGAAGAACACCUGUGGCGAAAGCGGUUUUCUAGCUUUUUCCUGACGCUGAGGCACGAAAGCAAGGGGAGCAAACA
RNAcentral lists this ribosomal RNA (427 nucleotides) under uncultured prokaryote. RNAcentral's name for it is "bacterial SSU rRNA". It matches the Rfam family "Bacterial small subunit ribosomal RNA", at positions 355 to 774 of the family's 1533-position model. The record is from RNAcentral.